Molecule: ribosomal RNA, 504 nt
Filed under: uncultured bacterium
Lineage: Bacteria
Description: partial 16S ribosomal RNA
Rfam family: Bacterial small subunit ribosomal RNA
Source: RNAcentral
AUUGAACGCUGGCGGCAGGCCUAACACAUGCAAGUCGAGCGGUAGCACAGAGAGCUUGCUCUCGGGUGACGAGCGGCGGACGGGUGAGUAAUGUCUGGGAAACUGCCUGAGGGAGGGGGAUAACUACUGGAAACGGUAGCUAAUACCGCAUAACGUCGCAAGACCAAAGAGGGGGACCUUCGGGCCUCUUGCCACCAGAUGUGCACAGAUGGGAUUAGCUAGUAGGUGGGGUAACGGCUCCCCUAGGCGACGAUCCCUAGCCGGUCUGAGAGGAUGACCAGCCACACUGGAACUGAGACACGGUCCAGACUCCUACGGGAGGCAGCAGUGGGGAAUAUUGCACAAUGGGCGCAAGCCUGAUGCAGCCAUGCCGCGUGUAUGAAGAAGGCCUUCGGGUUGUAAAGUACUUUCAGCGGGGAGGAAGGUGUUGAGGUUAAUAACCUCAGCAAUUGACGUUACCCGCAGAAGAAGCACCGGCUAACUCCGUGCCAGCAGCCGCAGUAA